Molecule: ribosomal RNA, 460 nt
Filed under: uncultured bacterium
Lineage: Bacteria
Description: partial 16S ribosomal RNA
Rfam family: Bacterial small subunit ribosomal RNA
Source: RNAcentral
CCUACGGGAGGCAGCAGUGAGGAAUAUUGGUCAAUGGACGAGAGUCUGAACCAGCCAAGUAGCGUGAAGGAUGACUGCCCUAUGGGUUGUAAACUUCUUUUAUAUGGGAAUAAAAUGUUCCACGUGUGGGAUUUUGUAUGUACCAUAUGAAUAAGGAUCGGCUAACUCCGUGCCAGCAGCCGCGGUAAUACGGAGGAUCCGAGCGUUAUCCGGAUUUAUUGGGUUUAAAGGGAGCGAAGGUGGAUUGUUAAGUCAGUUGUGAAAGUUUGCGGCUCAACCGUAAAAUUGCAGUUGAAACUGGCAGUCUGGAGUACAGUAGAGGUGGGCGGAAUUCGUGGUGUAGCGGUGAAAUGCUUAGAUAUCACGAAGAACUCCGAUUGCGAAGGCAGCUCACUGGACUGCAACUGACACUGAGGCUCGAAAGUGUGGGUAUCAAACAGGAUUAGAUACCCCUGUAGUC